UACGUAUGGUGCAAGCGUUAUCCGGACUUACUGGGUGUAAAGGGAGCGCAGGCGGCACGGCAAGCCUGAUGUGAAAGCCCGCGGCCCAACCGCGGGACUGCAUUGGGAACUACCGGGCUGGAGUGCCGGAGAGGUAGGCGGAAUUCCUAGUGUAGCGGUGAAAUGCGUAGAUAUUAGGAGGAACACCAGUGGCGAAGGCGGCCUACUGGACGGUGACUGACGCUGAGGCUCGAAAGCGUGGGGAGCAAACAGG
This 253-nucleotide ribosomal RNA is filed under the name uncultured bacterium. Its description in RNAcentral is "partial 16S ribosomal RNA". It matches the Rfam family "Bacterial small subunit ribosomal RNA", at positions 524 to 776 of the family's 1533-position model. The record is from RNAcentral.